This 355-nucleotide unclassified non-coding RNA is filed under the name Hevea brasiliensis (rubber tree). Lineage: Eukaryota; Viridiplantae; Streptophyta; Magnoliopsida; Malpighiales; Euphorbiaceae. The record is from RNAcentral.
AUAGCAUUGACCCUCUCACAAAAAUUAAUGGUUUAAUUGCACUCUAUUAGAGCAAUUUUUAAAUAUAAAACAUGGUAUCGUCAAAAUAUAUAGACAAUGAUUCUAAACUAUUUUUCGAAUUAAUUUUUAUAUAUAACAUUGACCCCUGAAAAAAAUUUUCUAGCCCCCUCAAAAUAUAUAGUUUACAUAUAACGUGAGUAUAAACUAUGACCAUAUAUUUGUUAAAUUUGUGAUUGUCAAGUUUAAUAGAAUCUUCUACGCUAUUCUGCCUGCAUAAAUGGGUGUAGCUGUUACACAAUUGAACUACUUUUGAUGAUAACUGUUUACUGCAGCUUGGCAGAGCAUUGUUCAACCA